Molecule: ribosomal RNA, 252 nt
Filed under: uncultured bacterium
Lineage: Bacteria
Description: partial 16S ribosomal RNA
Rfam family: Bacterial small subunit ribosomal RNA
Source: RNAcentral
UUCCUACGGGGGGCAGCAGUGGGGAAUAUUGGACAAUGGGCGGGACCCUGAUCCAGCGACGCCGCGUGAGUGAAGAAGUAUUUCGGUAUGUAAAUCUCUAUCAGCAGGGAAGAAAGAAAUGACGGUACCUGACUAAGCAGCCCCGGCUAACUACGUGCCAGCAGCCUCGGUAAUACGUAGGGGGCAAUCGUUAUCCGGAUUUCCUGGGUGUACAGGUAGCGUGGACGGCGAUGCAGGUCUUAAGUGAAAGGC